GAUGAAGAACGUAGCGAAAUGCGAUAAGUAAUGUGAAUUGCAGAAUUCAGUGAAUCAUCGAAUCUUUGAACGCACAUUGCGCCCGCCAGCACUCUGGCGGGCAUGCCUGUUCGAGCGUCAUUUCAACCAUCAAGCCCCCAGGGGCUUGUGCUGGGGCCCUGCGGCUGCCCGCAGGCCCUGAAAACCAGUGGCGGGCUCGCUAGUCACACCGAGCGCAGUAGCACAUCUCGCUCAGGGCGUGCGGCGGGCUCCUGCCGUGAAACCCCCCACUGUAACCCCAAAGGUUGACCUCGGAUCAGGUAGGAAUACCCGCUGAACUUAAGCAUAUCAAAAGCGGAGGA
Molecule: unclassified non-coding RNA, 341 nt
Filed under: soil metagenome
Description: partial contains 5.8S ribosomal RNA, internal transcribed spacer 2, and large subunit ribosomal RNA
Rfam family: 5.8S ribosomal RNA (bases 1-120)
Source: RNAcentral